Molecule: transfer RNA, 64 nt
Filed under: Amynthas corticis
Lineage: Eukaryota; Metazoa; Annelida; Clitellata; Crassiclitellata; Megascolecidae
Also listed under: 3 other names
Description: tRNA-His
Source: RNAcentral
AUAAAGAUAGGUUAAACAAACCACUGAGCUGUGGAUUCAGAGAUGUAUUUAAAUACUCUUUUUC